RNAcentral lists this ribosomal RNA (455 nucleotides) under uncultured anaerobic ammonium-oxidizing bacterium. RNAcentral's name for it is "bacterial SSU rRNA". It matches the Rfam family "Bacterial small subunit ribosomal RNA", at positions 381 to 826 of the family's 1533-position model. The record is from RNAcentral.
GGGUGACGGAGCGACGCCGCGUGGGUGAAGAAGGCCUUCGGGUUGUAAAACCCUGUCAGGAGUUAUGAAAUGUAAGUGCGCUAAUAUCGUGCUUAUUUGACAAAGGCUCCAAGGGAAGCCACGGCUAACUCUGUGCCAGCAGCCGCGGUAAUACAGAGGUGGCGAGCGUUGUUCGGAAUUAUUGGGCGUAAAGAGCACGUAGGUGGGUUUGCAAGUCAGAUGUGAAAGCCUUCUGUUCAACGGAAGAAUUGCAUCUGAAACUGCUGAUCUUGAGUAUAGGAGGGGAGAAUGGAACUUCUGGUGGAGCGGUGAAAUGCGUAGAUAUCAGAAGGAACGCCGGCGGCGAAAGCGAUUCUCUGGCCUAUUACUGACACUCAGUGUGCGAAAGCUAGGGGAGCAAACGGGAUUAGAUACCCCGGUAGCCCUAGCCGUAAACGAUGGGCACUAAGUAGAGG